This 489-nucleotide ribosomal RNA is filed under the name uncultured bacterium. RNAcentral describes it as "bacterial SSU rRNA". It matches the Rfam family "Bacterial small subunit ribosomal RNA", at positions 28 to 526 of the family's 1533-position model. The record is from RNAcentral.
GACGAACGCUGGCUGCGUGCUUAACACAUGCAAGUCGAACGCUGAAGCCUGGUGCUUGCACCGGGUGGAUGAGUGGCGAACGGGUGAGUAACACGUGAGUAACCUGCCCCUGACUUCGGGAUAAGCCCGGGAAACUGGGUCUAAUACCGGAUACGACCACUGGACGCAUGUCUGGUGGUGGAAAGUUUUUUCGGUUGGGGAUGGGCUCGCGGCCUAUCAGUUUGUUGGUGAGGUAAUGGCUCACCAAGACGACGACGGGUAGCCGGCCUGAGAGGGCGACCGGCCACACUGGGACUGAGACACGGCCCAGACUCCUACGGGAGGCAGCAGUGGGGAAUAUUGCACAAUGGGGGAAACCCUGAUGCAGCGACGCAGCGUGCGGGAUGACGGCCUUCGGGUUGUAAACCGCUUUCAGCAGGGAAGAAGCGAGAGUGACGGUACCUGCAGAAGAAGUACCGGCUAACUACGUGCCAGCAGCCGCAGUAACAC